UGGAUUCUUGAUCGCACAUAAGGAAAAGAAAGAACACGACGGUUACUGAGUGAAUUUCUAUAUCACAGAAUCAUCCAAAUUCAAUUCUAACCCGAGUGAUCUCUGUCUAAUCCGAUAAAUCAUUGCGUGUAACCCGCAAAUAGGUUUAUCUGAUAGUUCUCAUACGAUUCAGAGAUUAAUCCAGGUUUUUCACAAACUUUGCAAUUUCAAUUCGGGUUCUAGGUUUGUUAAUUCCUUUGAAAUCACUUGUUGUAGACCAGUUAUACAACAAAGAUAAACCUAUUUGCGGGUUAAAUUUGGUCAUUGGUUGUGAUUUCAAGUUUGAAAAAAAAAAUUGUAUAGUGAAUAUCUGUUCUGCAAUUUGGUUGUUGAAUUCUUAAUUCUAAAGUGUCGUACACUGUUGUUACUGGGACUUGACUUUGGUUCGUAACCCGAAUUUUGAAAUUGUGGUGGAUUCUUAGGAUUAACUGUGGAAAAUCACAUUGUAGUUUAGUUAUAAUUAUUUGUUUAAAUCAAAAGAAACUCAAUUAUAAAUGCAUGGUGGAGGAUGAACCUGGUCAAAAUUAAGAAUUAGAUUUUGGGAUUGAGUCUACUGUUUUACAAAUUUUGAUAGUGAAUUUUGGUUGCAAAAUUGGAUUUGGAAUUUACGAAUUCACGGUUGUAAUUGAGAAAAAAAAAAGGUUGAAUUUAUGAUCUUGGAAUUUAUGGAUUAAAUUAUUGGAAUUCCGGAACUAUUAAUAGUAUUGGCUUUACUUUCUUGAAAUCUGAUUCAUCAUUGUUUUAUCAUCAACAAAUUCAAAGCCAAUUGUUGGUUCAUAUAGCAUCUGGGGAAUAGAUUUUUACAAUUCUAGAAAAGUGUAUGGGAAAUAAAAGAAAGUUUGACCGGGGUGAUAAUGAUUCCAACAAGAAACCGAAAGGGGGCUGUUGGAGAUGUGGCAAACCGGGUCAUUUCAAGAAAGAUUGUCGUGUGAAGGUUACGGGUGGAAACAAAGCUAAUAUAGCGAGUCCAAGUGGGUCAAAAGAUCCAAAUGCUUCACAAGAUGACAUGCUUGCAUGGUGGGUAGACUCGGGUGCUACGAGUCACGUGUGCAAGGAUCUCAAAUGGUUUGAGGAAUUCGAACCAAUUGAAGAUGGAUCUGUACUAAGGAUGGGAAAUGUUGCAACUGAGCCCAUUAAAGGAGUUGGAAAAGUUAGACUUGUAUUCACGUCUGGAAAACACUUGUUGUUAGAUAAUGUGUUGUAUGUACCGGGGAUUCGAAAGAAUCUCUUAUCUGGAAUUGUAUUAAACAAUUGUGGUUAUAAACAGGUCAUU
Molecule: long non-coding RNA, 1312 nt
Filed under: Helianthus annuus (common sunflower)
Lineage: Eukaryota; Viridiplantae; Streptophyta; Magnoliopsida; Asterales; Asteraceae
Description: hypothetical non coding rna
Source: RNAcentral